UGGGCUGUGGCUCCGUGUAGAGCACUUGCCUGGCAGGCAUGAAGCCCUGGGUUCCAUCCUCAGCACUACAA
Molecule: transfer RNA, 71 nt
Filed under: Fukomys damarensis (Damara mole-rat)
Lineage: Eukaryota; Metazoa; Chordata; Mammalia; Rodentia; Bathyergidae
Rfam family: tRNA
About the family: Transfer RNA (tRNA) molecules are approximately 80 nucleotides in length.
Source: Rfam by way of RNAcentral